This 4933-nucleotide long non-coding RNA is filed under the name Taeniopygia guttata (zebra finch). RNAcentral describes it as "lncRNA (ENSTGUG00000026329.1)". The record is from RNAcentral. Lineage: Eukaryota; Metazoa; Chordata; Aves; Passeriformes; Estrildidae.
UACAUCAUGGCAUUUAUCUCCUCACUUGCUCUGAAGAGGCAUACUUUCCAUGUGUUACCCUGCUGGUCUCCUUUAGGCACAGUUGUCCCCUGCUGAUCCCUGGCAGCCAAUUCCUUAACCUUUUCUAGCUUCCAGAUAGAAAACACAGCUUGGGAUUAUGGAUUUUUUUUUUUUUAAUACAGUUAAACAUAACAAGAUACUGUGUGUUUUAAAUCCCAAAGCCUUUGUUUGAGCCCAUUGACACAGCUGUGACGGGACUAUUAUACCCUCUAGCUGUCCAAAACUUAUUUUUCUUUUAGGAGCUUGUCUUGUUUUUCCUGAGCAGACUCACUGUAUGCACCAUAUUAUCCAUACAAAAACUCUGCUGUUACAGCCUCUUACUGACAGCAUGUUUGUGGAAUUUUUUGAACUGGAAAAGGGAAGUUCUCAAUGUCCCAGUUUCUGGCUAUGACACCUGGACAGGUCUCCUUUCUGCCACUCUCACACACUUCCUGUUAGGAGAUGAGAGGCAGCAAAGCUGCAUGUGAGGGGUUUUCAGUUCCAGUUUACUCUGUGCCUCCAUCAUUUGAGCCUCUUCAACACCAUGAGUGAAGCUGGACUGAAACUUUAACACAGGCCUGAAGUUUCAGCUGCCUUCAAGAGGGAUAGUCCUUAAUGCAGAGUUCUGUGCUUUCCCAGAUUGGACCCCUACUGAUUAAAAGGCAUUUUUGAAAAGCCAGUCAUGGUGGGUGAUGUUUUACAAUGGAAGCUGUUUAAAAAGAUAAUUAAAAGAAUAAUUGCUAUAAUGAAAAUUUAACAGGUCUAAAAAAAUUUACCAAAACUAUCACAGCUGUCUUCCAUGACUUUAAGUUUCUUCUUUUCUUAAAAGCCAAGAUAUUAAAGGUUUUCCAGCUUUACCACACAGUGCUGCAGUUUUAGAUUUGUGGACAGACUGAGUGAUCUUCAGCCAGCAUCUGAACCCACAGCCUCCCAUCCUGGUUUCUCUUCAUUACCACUACAUCACAUCUUCUACAAAGUCAGAUUUUUCCAGUCAGUGCUGCAUGGCCCUUUCUGAAAUGCACGUUCACAGCAGCAGCAAUGCACAAAGACAAGCAAAUUGCCAUGUCACACGAGGGCAUCACAGCGUUACGUAAGGGGGCUCCCUCUGAGUUAUUAGUUUUAUGUCAGUUUUGGCAUACGCUCAAAUGAAACAUGGAAAAGACUAGAUAAGGAGUGAAGAAUGAAUUGCCUUCAUUAAUAUUCAACCACGGUUUUUAGUUUCAUUAUGACCUGCUCUUAUGAAGAGCUGAACAGAGCGAAAGCCAGUCGCUGUGUCCACUGGGCCGUGACAACUUACGUGGCUCUGAUUAAUAGGCCUAAAAAAACCCCUUUGGUGACACACAAGGUCUCUGCUCUGAGCCAAGGUGCCUCAAGGAGAGCUGGAAACAAACCCAACUUGUUCUCAUUGAAUAACAUACUCGCUGUCAUCAUCAGAAUGAAUAGGGAAUUAAUUUUGCUGAGUUUGGGGCACACAAGAGCAGUGCAAGUACAGCAGUAUUUCAGACUGGAAAAUGGGAUAAACAUUUUUAGAUGAAAUGAGACUGUUUAUAAAUUAAAAACGUAGAUUUUUAUAAAUCUCUUUCAAGCAAACAAUUGACAUAAACAAGCACUAGCCUUAACUAUUAGAUUUUAAAUAUUAGUAUCAUUUGAGGGUUAAAAUUUAAAUAACUAAUUAAAUUCAUUCUACUCUUUAAACAGACUAUUGCAUAAGUUUAACUAUCAGUGAAUACACAUCUUAAAGUAUAUGUAGAUUAACUACAGUAGAACUGCGUCAAUUUUCAGCCAUUCACAUUUAGGUUUUAUUACUUUUCCCACAGAUCAAGACCAUUAUAUGACAUAGGGGAAGCAUGAAGAAAUGUGUUUCAUUAAGGAUCUUUUAUAUAACCUACUUCUCUCUGCGUAAUCACAAAACUACAUACUAUUUUUUCAAAUUGUGGUCAGAGUAAAGGUGAUAUGCAAGUAAUUCCAAUACUUAGGCCUGAAGACCUGGGGCAUACUGACUGGAGAAUAGAAGCAGGCUGUCAGUGGAGGGCUAAUGAAUUCAGAAAUGCUGAGAGGUGUGCUCUAUUUGCUUAAAUCUGUUAAAACUUAACUGAUGUCAAUGAGAUGGCUUCUAGCAAAUAUUCUAUAUGUAUAUGAAAUAUUCCCAUGUUGGAAAUGUAUGGUUCUACAUAAGAUAAAUUCGUAUUUCCCAUAUGACUGUGUGUAACAGUAAGUUUUAAUUGUACCCCUUUAUAUAUUUUACAUAAACAAAAUUUGCUCCUACACCAGAUUAAAAUGGUGGCUUCAGAAAAAAAGCAGGGACAAACACACUUGUUACAACGAUGAUUGGGGUUAGCACCUUUUCUAAAUACUAACAAAGACUUUUUGAAAGGAAAGUAAGUCAGUUUCAGAAAUAUCAGUGCUGAGAACUUAUUCUUUUGCAGAAUUACUUAUUUUUAAAAAAUUUGCCUGAGGGGGCUUAAUGAGAAAUCUAUAUUAUUAACACCAGAGGAUUUACUUGAGACUAAUCCAAAGACAAAAGUAAGAAAACUCCAUCGUCUUUCCUGUCCUGUUUCAGUGGCAGCUGUCAACUGCCAUGAAGCAGCCGUGUUUAGUUUUAUGUUAGCAAAAUGUAUGUGUUAAGAAGAUAUAAAAUCUGCCAUUCUGAGAUAUAGGUUGUGUAAGACUGAAGAAAAGCAAUUACCUGAAUUUGGGUAUAUACGCAGGAUAAAAAUGUGGUGCACUGCUCUGCAUUUCUGGACAUUUUGCUGCCAAGGACUCCAAAAGAAAUGUGCAUUCAGGGCAUAACCUCUUCAGUUAAGGAAGGACUUUUUAUUAUCUCUAAUGGGGAUAAAAGUGAUCUAUGUUGAAAGUAGGUAUUUUGUGUCUGACAAAGGAAUUGAAAACUUAAGAAUCAGUUACAGAAACUUUCUCUUUGCUCCCUCCACUGUCUCAGGAAACUGUACUGAAUUGGCUUCUCACAUUGUGGGCAAGCCUGCACAGCCAAUGGCACUGGAGGGUUCCACAGCCAGGGCCUGUGAGGAAGAUAAGUAGCAGCAAUAAAAUCUUUCUAAGCCAGUUCCAACAAAAGUGUCAUCUUCAAUACUGAACAUCUCAACAGAAGGCAUUUGCAACACUGAAAUAGAUGGGUUUAUAAAACUGAGAUUUAGAGAUGAGCUAUCUUCACUUGAAUGCAGUAGUUGCAGUAUUGUAAAAGGAUUUUUUUUUAAUCUUAUUAAAAUGCAUAGUCCACAUUUUUCUUACAUGCUGUUAUGGGAAGAUGGCACUUAGCUCUCCUAAGAGUCAAACAUGGCUUUGCAGAAUAGAACAAUGUUAACAAUUAAAUAUAGUGAUUAUGAAGAAGAGUUUUAGAAUAUUUCAAAACAUGGACUCUCUGUAGUAUGUAUUUUUAUACUGGUUUAACGUCUCAAGUAACAUAAGAAUCAUACUAAGGUAUUACAAGCAAUCUGAAAUCCACUGCAAAUAGCUCUAUUUUAACUCAGAAAUUCACACUGAAUUCUUUCACAGCACUGAGAAUGAAUUCAGGAAAAUAAAUAUCGAAGGAGAAAUAUGGAUUUAAUUGUUCUUGCUGUUACGUUGCUAAAAUAAAACAGCUGUGAUCACAUACUCAGAUAAAACCAUUGUUUAACAAAUAUUUUUAUUAAGCAUCUCUGUAGUGGAGAUGAGUCCAGCUCCCCAAGAGCAGAGCAGGCUGCUUCCCAGACCACCCAUUGCUCGGAGGUGAAAGAGCCCAUCCAGCUGUAGGGGGGUGGGGAAGGGGAUCAGACACACUGCACACCACGGCAGGCAGGGAGCAGCUCCUGUUUGCUCCCAGCCACAUUGAACUGCAACAACUGGAGCUUCACAUGCAAGGAAACGUGUCACAGUCUUCUACCAAAUCAUGCAUUUGACCACAGUGAUGGAAUCAAUGGGGCUUCUUGGAAGGCAUGUCCCCAAAACUGACAAGGACCCGUUCAAGCCCAGGGCAGAGAAGACUCAAAACCUGAGGUCAGCUGAUUACAGGAGGCAGAGGGGGAAAGCCAGCACAGAGGGAGGUCAGAGGUACAGCAGGGGCAGUCAGGAAAAUAAAUUGGCCACGGGUAUACAGUAAAUAAACCGUGUGUCUGGGCUGGGAAUAAAAUCCAGAAGUCCUGAUUCCUUGUCUCUGCUCUGUUGUCCCAGUCCUAAUCAGAUCCUCCCUCAAAAUGAGUUUCUAACAUAGACAGUCCAGGAGACUGAAACAUUUCUCUGUCUACAAACCAAAUGUAGCAAAAGGUAUAUAAAUGUUUCCCUUCAAACAGUCACUCCACCAUUUGUUAGGGCCUCAAAGACUUUGCUAAUAAAUACUGCACUUUUCCUCCAUGCUGGCUAUCAGAAUUCCUGAGCUUGGAAAAUUUAUCAUUCCUCUACUUAUGAACUGGUGUCAGGAUAUUUUCAAGAAUUAUUUGAAUUUAAUAUCCAGGUAAUCUUCUACAGUUCUGACAUCCACCAGUCUGUGUUUCCUAGGGUUAUUGAUGGUUUGUUGUGGUUAUCAGAUGAGUUGUAAAACAAAACAAAAAAAAAAAUUCAUGCACAACAUUUAUAAAUAUCCAAUACUGAAUGAGAUUUAUAUCACUUUUCUAUUUCAGUGAAAUAAUAAAAUCUCAGGCCAGACAGAAAAUAGAUUAGGAAAGUAUGAAGGCUCAUAUUAAUGAAAUUUUCUACAUAAAAACUACACAAUCUAAAGCAGUACAUAAGGAGACUGCAAUCUGUGUAACUGCUUCUAGUCUUUAAUUGUAAACAUGCACUGUUUACCAUGGAAUGUGCAGUGUGGUUUUUCCAAACAGAUUUUUUUGCAAACCAAUUAAGCAGAUGGUCUUAUCUAAGAAUUCAAAGUGCCAAGCAAAAAAAAAAAAAAAAAAAAAAAAAAAAA